Molecule: ribosomal RNA, 253 nt
Filed under: uncultured bacterium
Lineage: Bacteria
Description: partial 16S ribosomal RNA
Rfam family: Bacterial small subunit ribosomal RNA
Source: RNAcentral
UACGUAGGGUGCGAGCGUUACUCGGAAUUACUGGGUUUAAAGGGUGCGUAGGUGGGUCUGUAAGUCAGUGGUGAAAUCUCCGGGCUUAACCCGGAAACUGCCAUUGAUACUAUAGAUCUUGAAUAUCCUGGAGGUGAGCGGAAUAUGUCAUGUAGCGGUGAAAUGCUUAGAUAUGACAUAGAACACCAAUUGCGAAGGCAGCUCACUACGGGAUCAUUGACACUGAGGCACGAAAGCGUGGGGAUCAAACAGG